AUACGUAGGUGGCGAGCGUUAUCCGGAAUUACUGGGUGUAAAGGGCGUGUAGGCGGGGAUGCAAGUCAGAUGUGAAAUUCCGGGGCUCAACCUCGGCACUGCAUCUGAAACUGUGUCUCUUGAGUGCUGGAGAGGAAAGUGGAAUUCCUAGUGUAGCGGUGAAAUGCGUAGAGAUUAGGAGGAACACCAGUGGCGAAGGCGACUUUCUGGACAGCAACUGACGCUGAGGCGCGAGAGCGUGGGGAGCAAACAGGAUUAGAUACCCUGGUAGUCCACGCCGUAAACGAUGGAUACUAGGUGUAGGAGGUAUCGACCCCUUCUGUGCCGUAGUUAACACAAUAAGUAUCCCACCUGGGGAGUACGGCCGCAAGGCUGAA
This 377-nucleotide ribosomal RNA is filed under the name uncultured bacterium. Its description in RNAcentral is "bacterial SSU rRNA". It matches the Rfam family "Bacterial small subunit ribosomal RNA", at positions 523 to 898 of the family's 1533-position model. The record is from RNAcentral.